CUACAGCAACAAUAUUUAUUAUCUGCAGCAGUUCACCUAUUAAGUGUAGACACUUUGGGUCUGAGUGA
Molecule: small nucleolar RNA, 68 nt
Organism: Nycticebus coucang (slow loris)
Lineage: Eukaryota; Metazoa; Chordata; Mammalia; Primates; Lorisidae
Product: small nucleolar RNA SNORD56
Exons: 1
Source: RefSeq, a predicted model, not a curated record